CAGGUAUCAAGUAAUCCACCACGGCUAGGGCAGAUGAAAAAAAAAUCAUCCACUAUUUUUGUUUCUGCUGCAAUUUGAACCUAAGGUCUCAUGAUCCUCAACCACUUCCAUUAACCAUUAGGCCACACUUCCAUCAACACUUACUCUACCAGUUACACUACAUUAUCGAUCUGGUAAAAUAGCAGGUAGAGAAUUUUCUGUAAUCAUCUAUCCUUCAAACUUCUGGCAACCGUUCCUUCUCCACCUGAAACUGCGAUCAUCCAGUUCUGACAAGUAGUGCUGAGCCAAAUGAUAAGAUUACACUUGACACUAUUGCUUUUAAGUUUACUGUUCCAGUGAGGGUAUAAAAUAACCAUAAAAUCAUCCAAUUAUGUGUGUUCAACUAACAACGCAGGCCGGUCAGGACUUUAUGAUCUUCGAGCAGCAGCAGCAUGUUAUUCAACCUAAAAAAGACCAUCUCAGGUUCUAGGUUUCAUCUAUCAAUAUUAAUAUAUUUGAAGUGCAAUCAGGAUCACAUUUUAACUCAAAAUUUCAGGAAGAAAUUGAACACAGCUUACUUGUACCAAGAACCUUGUCAAAAAUUUCACUUGCACUAGUUUGACCAUAUCCAGCUAUGAGAGUACAUACAAGUACAUAUCCCUAAACAAUUCCCACCUCUUACUCAACUGGCAGAUGCAGGGGUUGAGAUAUAGUUUCGCUAUUCACCAAGCCUAAUGUAAACAAGCAGCUUUCUUUUAUCAAGCAUAAACAAGUCGUACUAGAAAAGCAGUAAGAAUGACAGUAGAUAAAAGUUUUUACCAAUAUUCAGUUCUAAACAUCCAAGCACCAAAAAGUCCCAGAUGGAGACUGGCUACUACCAUUAAAAAAUGAAGGCAUAAACAUCAAAGUAAGCUGACAUUUCACCAGUCUGUUGGCUGUUGCAGGGAAGAAUAUUAACUUGUUUUAUCGACUAUUUUCCCAAGAGCUGCAACAGCUUCAGUUGAAGGCACAAAGUAUUAUGAAGUUGAUGCUUAGAACCUAAGAACACAAAGCUCCUAACAACUUGAGCAAUCUGUGGACUACAAAUCACAGUACUCACCCUCUCCUGCCCCAUCAGGGCACGCAGUACCUCCCUUUUUUGAAUUGUACUACUACUACUACCCACAGUGUUUGAUCUUUAAUCAGCAUGUGAGUACAGUUAUAACCACAUAUGGUAGCGCUCAUGACAGAGACACUAUUUGGCAGUCAUCUCUAUUUGAUAAGAUUACAAAAUUCUUUUAUAAGGAUUUGGCAGUCGUAGCUAAAGAUAGUGAGUAACUAAAUUCAAUGUUUUACCGGAAUUACAUAGACAAAUCAAGUUGUUUGAGGGCCAGAGCUCUUCACGUUAUUAAAGAGUAAAAAGACCUCCAUGGACUAGUUAUGCACUACUGAUAGUACCUAGAAAAUACACAGUUCCAAUAAGUUUAGUUUUCUGCAAAUGAUAAUAUUCUCCCCUCUCGUGAGAUCUCUCUUGCCGAAUUUUUUCUAAACCCGCAAAUUUUAAAACCGCAUCACAACGCAUCUCCUUUAAAUCUGCAUAAACCUGCCCCACAAUCAUACCCGCACCGCGCCGCCCCAUAUUUUAUUUUUUUAUUUUUUUGAAAAAUUCAUAACUCCUCUGAAAAUCAUAAUAUUUUCAAAUCUACAACUAAGAAAUAAUAACAACUAGUUUCUAUUAUAUCAUUUUUCACUAAGAAAUUAUCAAAAAGUAUCACGUGUACAAGUAAUAAUCAAAUAUCAUUUUUUUUAAAAUUGAAUAGAGAUAUUAAAAAAAUUAUAAAAUUAUUUAUUUGUAGUGUUAUAUAUGUCAUUUUAAAUAUCAUAAAAUUUUAAGUAAAAAAUACAUAUAAUUUUAGGUAUAUUCACAAAAAUAAUAUUAAUUUUUAAUUUUUUAAAUUUAAACCCGCAUAUACGUGUAACCAACACCGCACCGCACCAUUUAAAAAAAAACUUAC
Molecule: long non-coding RNA, 1973 nt
Filed under: Capsicum annuum
Lineage: Eukaryota; Viridiplantae; Streptophyta; Magnoliopsida; Solanales; Solanaceae
Description: long non-coding RNA (CANN_LNC002499)
Source: RNAcentral